UUAAAGGAAUUGACGGAAGGGCACCACAAGGUGUGGAGCCUGCGGCUUAAUUUGACUCAACACGGGAAACCUCACCAGGCCAGGACACCGGUAGGAUUGACAGAUUGAGAGCUCUUUCUUGAUUCGGUGGGUGGUGGUGCAUGGCCGUCCUUAGUUGGUGGAACGAUUUGUCUGCUUAAUUGCGUUAACGAACGAGACCUUUGCCUGCUAACUAGUCGAUACCGGCAUCCUUGGUGCAGCCGGCGAUUAACGUUCUUCUUAGAGGGACAGGCGGCUUCCAGCCGCACGAAACUAGGCAAUGACAGGUCUGUAAUGCCCUUAGAUGUUCUGGGCAGCACGCGCGCUACACUGAAGGCAUCAGCGUGUGUUUUCCUUGCCCGAGAGGGCCGGGUAACCCGUUGAAUCUCCUUCGUGCUAGGGAUUGGGGCUUGCAAUUCUUCCCCACGAACGAGGAAUACCUAGUAAACGGGAAUCAUUAUUUCCCAUUGAUUAUGUCCCUGCCCUUUGUACACACCGCCCGUCGCUACUACCGAUUGAAUAUUUUAGUGAGGUCUUCGGACCAGCCCGCGGCUCCUUCGCGGGGGCCGAUGCGCCGGAAAGAUGACCAAACUUGAAUAUUUAGAGGAAGUAAAAGUCGUAACAAGGUUUCC
This 650-nucleotide ribosomal RNA is filed under the name Taciturna sp. Mau. RNAcentral describes it as "bacterial SSU rRNA". It matches the Rfam family "Eukaryotic small subunit ribosomal RNA", at positions 1144 to 1804 of the family's 1831-position model. Lineage: Eukaryota; Metazoa; Arthropoda; Insecta; Orthoptera; Gryllidae. The record is from RNAcentral.